AACGCACAUUGCGCCCGGUAGUAUUCUACCGGGCAUGCCUGUUCGAGCGUCAUUUCAACCCUCAAGCGCUGCUUGGUGUUGGGGCGCUGCCGCCGCGCGCGGCAGGCCCCCAAAUUCAUUGGCGAGCUCGCCAGGACCCCGAGCGCAGUAGUUUUCUCCUCGCUUUGGGCGGACUGGCGGCGCACUGCCGUUAAAGCCUCCCUGGGCCCGCCCCUCUCCGGGCGCGGUCCGGGGAAACCCACACAAAAGGUUGACCUCGGAUCAGGUAGGAAUACGCGCUGAACUUAA
This 288-nucleotide unclassified non-coding RNA is filed under the name uncultured fungus. RNAcentral describes it as "sequence contains ITS2". The stretch from base 1 to 52 matches the Rfam family "5.8S ribosomal RNA", at positions 103 to 154 of the family's 154-position model. The record is from RNAcentral. Lineage: Eukaryota; Fungi.